Molecule: long non-coding RNA, 680 nt
Organism: Daphnia carinata
Lineage: Eukaryota; Metazoa; Arthropoda; Branchiopoda; Diplostraca; Daphniidae
Exons: 3
Source: RefSeq, a predicted model, not a curated record
UUCAUUCUGUUGCUUACGGACGUUGGCACGCCCGUACAGAGUCCCCUCAAAGUCUACGGUGCUAGUUUGGGCCGUGCCCGUCCUUUAGGUUAUAAAUGGUUAAGAAAGAUUCUCCAAACCGAGUGAUUGCCUUUUUCGAGUGGCUAUGGUUCGAGUAUCUCAUAUUUACUGCACUCUACAUGCUUGGAAGUCGGGAAAGAAUAGCCUUCACUAGUUUUUUAGUUGCUUUCCUCGCCACUGCUAGUUAUUCGAGCUACGUGUUCUUACCUCAUUAUCUCGGCUCAUUGCUACAUUACCUGGGAUACACUGCUGGUCAGAACUGGGAGUUUGGAAACCACUUGUAAGAAGACAGUCCGCUCCACCUUUCUCUUUCACAAUGGGCUCAAAGUCUGUCACUACAGAGAUUGAGAAGAGAGAAGCAGAAGUAAAGCAGUUCUAUCAUCGGAUUGAGACAGUGGAAAAAGCCCUAAGGCUGCGAGAACUCACACCUGAUGAGAGAACUGAGUUUGAGAAGGAGCUUGAUCUGUUAAAAACUGUGUUGAAAAACAAUGAGGAGCAGCUGAAAACUCUUCAAAAAGAAAACUACAAAACAGGCAUCAUUGCAACAGCUCUCAUCUUUAUUUGCUUUUUAGUUUAUGGCGUACUGUCUAUGUUUUGGAAUAAAUCCUCACAUUAAUGCA